UUACAACUUACGAGGAAGAGAGACUUAACUGUACAUUUGAAGACCCGACUCCCGAGGGAAAUUGAAGCAAAAAGAAGACCCCAGUGUUGGCUUCAACAAUCUGGGGAGAUUUGUUGGAAUAUUACAGAAGAUGGGGUACAAGAGAAUAACACUUGAGAGAAGACUGAUUAGUAUUUUGAUCCUUUGGAGAAAAUAGAAGCCUGAAAAGUGCUGACUAAAUAGCAUGGAAGAGGCACUGAAACAGAGGCCGAUAUGCAGCAAGUGAGAGUGCAUACAAUGAAGGGCAACUACAAACGAGUUUAACACAUGAAAGACCUCGAGUCCUUAUAAAACAGACAGAGGAUGCUGUGAAUCAGGAAAAUAUCCAAUAUUCAGUAAAAAAAAAAAACUUCACAGAAUUGGGAGGUGACUAAAAUUAACAAAAGGUUUUAGAGGAUGUGAUGGGAGGGCAAGGUCUGUGACAAGAAUGAGUAACAAUAAUCAUGAAAAAGAGAAAUGAAAAAUGACAAGAGGAAUUGAGCAGAAUCAGGCACCAGUAAAUGUACAGUCACAUUUCAGACUAGAAUGGAUGGGCAGCCAAAAAAAGUAAAUGAAGUGGCUGUUGGUUUACAGUGUGCUCAAGUCCAGGGCCGACUGUACCAUGUUUAACUGGCAUAAAAUGAUGACCUUCAAGAUUGUAUUAAAAGGAAAGCUAUUGUUACAAGCAAAGGGACUUCAACCAGUGCUGCUGUUUACUAUUUAAGCCCAACAAAACUCCUAGUAUUGCUGAGGUAACUUCCUAUUUCCUGACAUAUCUAAAGCAAGACUGUGAUGAAGGAUACAGAGCCAAGAAGAUCUACGUAUGCACUGGAUGGGCCUCUCUAUAAAGACAUUCAAGAGAACAUUCUACCUGGUCUUAAGAGAACAUGCCUUACAAUUCAAGGCUGCCAUACAUUUCUUUCCAAAUGAAAGGUCAAUAUCAAACUGAUUUCAGUUUGGAAUUGAUGGAAUUUUGAGGGUUUGUCAAGGAGCAUUUUUGAUAGCCUAGAAAGCAAACUGCAAGGUGCCGACAUGAUGGGGGCCACCUACCAAAACACUACAUGGUGGGCAGUGCCUCGCUAGAGUAAACAAUACACUUACACCAAUUCAUCAUAAGACCAUGGAAUACUCAAGUAACUGAAGAACUACCUGUCAUUCAGCCUACAAACGAGGGCAUCUUUUCAACCCUCAAGGCAUAUGAUCUGGUGUGGUUAACAUGUUCAGCAUAAGGCUUAUAAAAAAAAAACUGCAGAUGCUUAGGAUGAGAUGCAGUGAAGUUGUAUUUCAAAUAACAUGAAGGGAAAGAGACAUUCAUGUACAAGGCUUUCUUUUAGCAGAGAAACACCUGUGUGGACAGUCUCCAUGUAGUCUUGCUCAAGAAAGACCAAAAGGAUCUUGCUGACCAAUGAGGAGGUGAUGGCAAUAGAUUAAGGACAUGCAGCAGAAUGAGAAGAUUAAGACGAAGGAACUGCUGAAACCUCCAAAGGGUGCAUUAUAUUACAGUAUUUCCAUAAAAAUCAUGAAGGAAGUUUACUACCUAACAUUCUAGGAGCUAGUCUACCACACUGAUCCAUACCAAAGGAAAAACCAAUUGUCUGGCAGAGAUGACAUAUUUAUUUCUUUUAGACAUCAUUGUUUGUCCACUGCCUCCUUGUCUAUGUAUCCCGACUGGUAAUGUACCAAUGUCAUCAAAGCAGAAGUCUACCCAAAGCUCUUGCAUCAACACGGGUUGCCUCCCAAUCUCUACCUGGUGUCUCACUGGGCAGAAAAAAUUGUCCUCACACCUCUGCUGGUAACAGAAGAUAAGGCAGACAUGGAAUUAGGUUGUGAUGUUGGGAAUAAACAACAAUCCUCUAUUGACCACUUUCAGACAUGACAUGAGUUUGACUAGCCCAUAUCCAUGUAAACUUCUAGGAAAGGAGGAAAUACAUAUACUAUUAUAUAUAACACUUCUUUAACCAUCAAGUACUAGAUAGAUCCUUGGUGUGUCAUACUGUAUGAUGCAAUAUUGCUUGAUCACCACUUAGCUGGAAAACCAGCUCGUGCAAAGAAAAGAGUAUCAGAAAAAACAAAAAACUUUUAAAAGUGUUGCUCGAGAAAAUUCCAAGAAAGGAGAAUUUUGGGAAUAUCUAUCACUGUGGAUACUGUUCCUUUCAUUACUGCAAGAAUGGUUUAUAGGUAGCUUCCCUAAUCCUCCUAAAGUACCUGGAGACAGUUUCCUCAGUGCCUGCCAGAAGUUGAGCAGGUGAAAUGUGAAAAUUGGAUCUAUCCAAGGGUAUAUUAAAUCCUCAAAUAUCCAACAGAUUCAUAAAAACCUAAAAGAUUUACUUAGGCUUACUAUAAAAUGUAUGUAAGUUGUGUUACUUCCUCUGCUGAUAGUUUGCCAAAAAUGUGUGUGAAGCAAUAUACUGAUGUCUGAAAAGAAUCCAGGCAAUACAUCAUUAACGUUUUAAAGCUUCGCUUCCUUCAAAGUUAUCGACUACCAGUUGAUACAAGGUCCCAGAGCAAUAGCUGCCUGGGACUUUCAUAAAUAACUUACUUUUGUGACUGGAGUCCAAAGGCCCCAGAAGUGUUGUUUGCCGUGUGUGUGUCUGUUACUUGCGAAUGAAGAAGGGACGUAUUAUCAUCUUCGUAUGUCCUGUAAAAAUUAAAUAUGUAAUAAAAAUUACUUGUUACAUCAUGUCUAGUCUCAGUGAAAUGAAGCUAGACGCACAUGUAAAGGCAAAUAAUUUUAGAACAACAUUUUAUAAACCGAGACCUACUUACUGUCUGACAAAAGCUGUCAGUGUAAACUGAGACCUCCUGUCUGACAGAAGCUGUUAAUGGCUCAGGCUGAAGACAAGUGAUGGAUUUACAAGCAAACCAUUAGAGGGCAGCCAAGUUUUCCCUUGCUAAAGUAAGGGAGUUCUUCUUACUUUACUGUAUCCUUUAGACAAAUAAAAAUCCUAGGCAUUAUUAAUAUUACAGUACUUGAUUUAACCAUCAUUUUAUUUUCUGUUCAAGUAAUGAAGACAAUUCGGCAUUUUUUAAUUUUUUUGAAUGUACUCUAUCAAUGAGUAUGGUCUUCUAAUU
Molecule: long non-coding RNA, 3090 nt
Organism: Macrobrachium nipponense
Lineage: Eukaryota; Metazoa; Arthropoda; Malacostraca; Decapoda; Palaemonidae
Exons: 4
Source: RefSeq, a predicted model, not a curated record